GAUGAACGCUGGCGGCGUGCCUAAUACAUGCAAGUCGAGCGAACAGACGAGGAGCUUGCUCCUCUGACGUUAGCGGCGGACGGGUGAGUAAAACGUGGAUAACCUACCUAUAAGACUGGGAUAACUUCGGGAAACCGGAGCUAAUACCGGAUAAUAUAUUGAACCGCAUGGUUCAAUAGUGAAAGACGGUUUUGCUGUCACUUAUAGAUGGAUCCGCGCCGCAUUAGCUAGUUGGUAAGGUAACGGUUUACCAAGGCAACGAUGCGUAGCCGACCUGAGAGGGUGAUCGGCCACACUGGAACUGAGACACGGUCCAGACUCCUACGGGAGGCAGCAGUAGGGAAUCUUCCGCAAUGGGCGAAAGCCUGACGGAGCAACGCCGCGUGAGUGAUGAAGGUCUUCGGAUCGUAAAACUCUGUUAUUAGGGAAGAACAAAUGUGUAAGUAACUAUGCACGUCUUGACGGUACCUAAUCAGAAAGCCACGGCUAACUACGUG
This 497-nucleotide ribosomal RNA is filed under the name uncultured bacterium. RNAcentral's name for it is "partial 16S ribosomal RNA". It matches the Rfam family "Bacterial small subunit ribosomal RNA", at positions 28 to 507 of the family's 1533-position model. The record is from RNAcentral.